RNAcentral lists this non-coding RNA (80 nucleotides) under Oscillatoriales cyanobacterium. Its description in RNAcentral is "Glutamine-I sequence". It matches the Rfam family "Glutamine riboswitch aptamer (glnA leader)". Lineage: Bacteria; Bacillati; Cyanobacteriota; Cyanophyceae; Oscillatoriales. The record is from RNAcentral. RNAcentral also lists the same sequence under 1 other name.
AUCGUUCAUCUCCUAACCGUUUGGCUUCACCAUCGCAUCGCAGGAGACGGAAGUAGGGCUUGAACCCGAAGGAACGCGCU